Molecule: ribosomal RNA, 51 nt
Filed under: uncultured bacterium
Lineage: Bacteria
Description: partial 16S ribosomal RNA
Source: RNAcentral
GAAGACGGUCACCGACUUAGGAGCCGUUUAGGUAAACUGGUAACUGGGGCU